GUGCUUGCUUCAGCAGCACAUACACUAAAAUUGGAAUGAUACAGAAAUUAGCAUGGUUCUUUUGCAAGGAUGACACACAAAUUUGUAAAGUGUUCUAUAUUUUU
Molecule: small nuclear RNA, 104 nt
Organism: Suncus etruscus (white-toothed pygmy shrew)
Lineage: Eukaryota; Metazoa; Chordata; Mammalia; Eulipotyphla; Soricidae
Source: RefSeq, a predicted model, not a curated record